This 2923-nucleotide ribosomal RNA is filed under the name Klebsiella pneumoniae. Its description in RNAcentral is "23S ribosomal RNA". It matches the Rfam family "Bacterial large subunit ribosomal RNA". Lineage: Bacteria; Pseudomonadati; Pseudomonadota; Gammaproteobacteria; Enterobacterales; Enterobacteriaceae. The record is from RNAcentral.
GGGUUGUGAGGUUAAGCGACUAAGCGUACACGGUGGAUGCCCUGGCAGUCAGAGGCGAUGAAGGACGUGCUAAUCUGCGAAAAGCGUCGGUAAGGUGAUAUGAACCGUUAUAACCGGCGAUGUCCGAAUGGGGAAACCCAGUGUGAUUCGUCACACUAUCGUUAACUGAAUACAUAGGUUAACGAGGCGAACCGGGGGAACUGAAACAUCUAAGUACCCCGAGGAAAAGAAAUCAACCGAGAUUCCCCCAGUAGCGGCGAGCGAACGGGGAGCAGCCCAGAGUCUGAAUCAGCUUGUGUGUUAGUGGAACGGUCUGGAAAGUCCGACGGUACAGGGUGAUAGUCCCGUACACCAAAAUGCACAGGCUGUGAACUCGAAGAGUAGGGCGGGACACGUGGUAUCCUGUCUGAAUAUGGGGGGACCAUCCUCCAAGGCUAAAUACUCCUGACUGACCGAUAGUGAACCAGUACCGUGAGGGAAAGGCGAAAAGAACCCCGGCGAGGGGAGUGAAAAAGAACCUGAAACCGUGUACGUACAAGCAGUGGGAGCACCUUCGGGUGUGACUGCGUACCUUUUGUAUAAUGGGUCAGCGACUUAUAUUCUGUAGCAAGGUUAACCGUAUAGGGGAGCCGCAGGGAAACCGAGUCUUAACUGGGCGUUAAGUUGCAGGGUAUAGACCCGAAACCCGGUGAUCUAGCCAUGGGCAGGUUGAAGGUUGGGUAACACUAACUGGAGGACCGAACCGACUAAUGUUGAAAAAUUAGCGGAUGACUUGUGGCUGGGGGUGAAAGGCCAAUCAAACCGGGAGAUAGCUGGUUCUCCCCGAAAGCUAUUUAGGUAGCGCCUCGUGAACUCAUCUUCGGGGGUAGAGCACUGUUUCGGCUAGGGGGUCAUCCCGACUUACCAACCCGAUGCAAACUACGAAUACCGAAGAAUGUUAUCACGGGAGACACACGGCGGGUGCUAACGUCCGUCGUGAAGAGGGAAACAACCCAGACCGCCAGCUAAGGUCCCAAAGUCAUGGUUAAGUGGGAAACGAUGUGGGAAGGCACAGACAGCCAGGAUGUUGGCUUAGAAGCAGCCAUCAUUUAAAGAAAGCGUAAUAGCUCACUGGUCGAGUCGGCCUGCGCGGAAGAUGUAACGGGGCUAAACCAUGCACCGAAGCUGCGGCAGCGACACUAUGUGUUGUUGGGUAGGGGAGCGUUCUGUAAGCCUGCGAAGGUGUGCUGUGAGGCAUGCUGGAGGUAUCAGAAGUGCGAAUGCUGACAUAAGUAACGAUAAAGCGGGUGAAAAGCCCGCUCGCCGGAAGACCAAGGGUUCCUGUCCAACGUUAAUCGGGGCAGGGUGAGUCGACCCCUAAGGCGAGGCCGAAAGGCGUAGUCGAUGGGAAACAGGUUAAUAUUCCUGUACUUGGUGUUACUGCGAAGGGGGGACGGAGAAGGCUAUGUUAGCCGGGCGACGGUUGUCCCGGUUUAAGCAUGUAGGCUGAUUGUCCAGGCAAAUCCGGAUAAUCAAGGCUGAGGUGUGAUGACGAGGCACUACGGUGCUGAAGUAACAAAUGCCCUGCUUCCAGGAAAAGCCUCUAAGCAUCAGGUAACAUCAAAUCGUACCCCAAACCGACACAGGUGGUCAGGUAGAGAAUACCAAGGCGCUUGAGAGAACUCGGGUGAAGGAACUAGGCAAAAUGGUGCCGUAACUUCGGGAGAAGGCACGCUGGUGUGUAGGUGAAGCCCCUGCGGGUGGAGCUGAGACCAGUCGAAGAUACCAGCUGGCUGCAACUGUUUAUUAAAAACACAGCACUGUGCAAACACGAAAGUGGACGUAUACGGUGUGACGCCUGCCCGGUGCCGGAAGGUUAAUUGAUGGGGUUAUCCGUAAGGAGAAGCUCUUGAUCGAAGCCCCGGUAAACGGCGGCCGUAACUAUAACGGUCCUAAGGUAGCGAAAUUCCUUGUCGGGUAAGUUCCGACCUGCACGAAUGGCGUAAUGAUGGCCAGGCUGUCUCCACCCGAGACUCAGUGAAAUUGAACUCGCUGUGAAGAUGCAGUGUACCCGCGGCAAGACGGAAAGACCCCGUGAACCUUUACUAUAGCUUGACACUGAACAUUGAGCCUUGAUGUGUAGGAUAGGUGGGAGGCUUUGAAGCGUGGACGCCAGUCUGCGUGGAGCCAACCUUGAAAUACCACCCUUUAAUGUUUGAUGUUCUAACGUUGGCCCCUUACCGGGGUUGCGGACAGUGUCUGGUGGGUAGUUUGACUGGGGCGGUCUCCUCCCAAAGCGUAACGGAGGAGCACGAAGGUUAGCUAAUCCUGGUCGGACAUCAGGAGGUUAGUGCAAUGGCAUAAGCUAGCUUGACUGCGAGCGUGACGGCGCGAGCAGGUGCGAAAGCAGGUCAUAGUGAUCCGGUGGUUCUGAAUGGAAGGGCCAUCGCUCAACGGAUAAAAGGUACUCCGGGGAUAACAGGCUGAUACCGCCCAAGAGUUCAUAUCGACGGCGGUGUUUGGCACCUCGAUGUCGGCUCAUCACAUCCUGGGGCUGAAGUAGGUCCCAAGGGUAUGGCUGUUCGCCAUUUAAAGUGGUACGCGAGCUGGGUUUAGAACGUCGUGAGACAGUUCGGUCCCUAUCUGCCGUGGGCGCUGGAGAAUUGAGGGGGGCUGCUCCUAGUACGAGAGGACCGGAGUGGACGCAUCACUGGUGUUCGGGUUGUCAUGCCAAUGGCACUGCCCGGUAGCUAAAUGCGGAAGAGAUAAGUGCUGAAAGCAUCUAAGCACGAAACUUGCCCCGAGAUGAGUUCUCCCUGAGACUUUAAGUCUCCUGAAGGAACGUUAAAGACGAUGACGUUGAUAGGCCGGGUGUGUAAGCGCAGCGAUGCGUUGAGCUAACCGGUACUAAUGAACCGUGAGGCUUAACCUUACAACGCCGAAG